GCUUAGUUCCAGAGCAACAAACUGUGUGUGUUUUAGGGAAAAACAGCUAAUAAACUGUUGGCUAAAUGACAGGAGCAGAUAAUAAGGAUUAGAUAUAAUGCUGAAUAACUAGAUGCUGAUAGUCUGUGACGUAACUCCCAGCAACAUCACCUCAUUUACCCAUCGUAGCUUAACUAGCAGAGCAGCUAGCAGUUAUGAACUCUGUGUAAGCAGUCAGCUUGGUCCUGGUGGUCACCUGGUGUCAUGUUUGCAGGUUUAGAUUUGUUUACAUGUUCCAGAUGUGUCCACAUAAUUAUUCAUUUCAGUGAGUUUCUGACAUAAUGUGAUCAGAUCAAAUGGCUGUCAUGGAGUCACCACUUUAUUUCUGAAUCACUGAAAUUUUUCUCUCCGGUUGAAAUUCUCAGUAAACUCAUUUAUUGAGUUAAUAUUUUAUCAAAGGAUAUUUAUGUCAAAACAAAUUCUUUGUAUGUGGAAUUCAGCAGCUGCGUGUACAAAGAAGCCAUCGCACACAUGUGAGUGUCUGCUUUGGACGCGCUGUUACAGUUUCACGCUCUCUUUGCUUGGAGAGAAGCAUGCACUAAUAAACCCGCUUUGGAUUGGAGCCCAAAGCAGGACAGGAUUCUAAUGUGAUUCACUUGUGUGUCACUUUGAUUGACACUUCAGGUUACUGUGUUAAACUGAACUACACUGUGGCAGCAAAAAAGAGGCCGUUUUAAACUAUUUGUUUACAAUUUGAAAAAUAACAUUUAAUAUAAAAAAUUAAUAAUAAUAAAUAAAGUUAUUGUUUGCUGUGAAGCAGUGGAAAUACUGACAACAUAAACACAAUAAAUUAAACAAAUUGACAUAAUUUACAUCUAUGGCAGUUAAAAAGCCUUUGGUUUAAAAUAUUUAAAAUAAAUAAUCUAGUUAUUGUAUGUUAUUUAUUUCCUUUAUUUAUUGUUGUUCCUUUUGGGGUAUGAACUAAGUUACAUUCUGUGUUGCGCACAGGCCCCGUUAAGUGACACAAAGGGAAGUUAAGAAAGCAUGUGCAAAGAAGCUAAGCCGUAAUUUAACUAAGUCACAAGAAAGAUUAAAUAAGCUUCUUCAAAGUGAAAGGAAGCUGUAAAGAAGAAGAAGAAGUUGGGAAUUGUUUUUUGUUAAGUUUUUGUUUCUGAAGCAGACUCAUUCCCUCACGGCUACAUGCAGCUAGCGAGUUUGACGGUGAAUUUUAUGGUGGUUCGGAGAAGUGUGACGAAAGAAUAAAUCCAUCUGUGAAUGAAGAACCGUGGUGUCGUGUAUUACCUGGAGGGAGUGAUACGCUUCAAAGGCAGGUUCUGAAGCCUCUGCACUGCUGUGCCAUCAAUCUGUUGUACAGUAUUUGCGGUUUACCUCUCAGACUGACUGAAGUCCAAGAAGAUGAUGGAGGAAGAGGAGGACAGAGCAGAGUCUGCAGGAUCCAGCUGUCCGUCUGUGAUGCAUGACCGCUCCAAAGGCCUAAAUCCACUCUUCAGUGCUGAACCUGAACCAACGAGAGGUCAGAGAUCACAGUCUGCAGGGUCCAGCUGUCCGUCUGUGAGGAGUGACUGGUCCAAAGGUUACCCUCCAUGUUUCACUAAUAAACCUGGACCAACGAGGUCAGAGAGCUGUGAUGACUCCUUUACAUGUUUGUCUUUUCCUGGAUAAAUAUGACCUGAAACAUCCUCAGAUUGUUACAAAGAUUCAU
Molecule: long non-coding RNA, 1702 nt
Organism: Oreochromis aureus
Lineage: Eukaryota; Metazoa; Chordata; Actinopteri; Cichliformes; Cichlidae
Exons: 3
Source: RefSeq, a predicted model, not a curated record